Chelonia mydas (Green sea turtle) is the source of this 13815-nucleotide RNA transcript. It is a transcript of the gene named ArfGAP with RhoGAP domain, ankyrin repeat and PH domain 1, with no coding region annotated. The record is from RefSeq and is a predicted model, not a curated record. The transcript has 33 exons. NCBI's taxonomy places the organism in Eukaryota, Metazoa, Chordata, Testudines, Cheloniidae.
ACCGUGACCGCCGCUGAGAUCGGAUGUCAUUGCAUCUUGUCCCUGUGGCGCAAGAUGCUGCCACCCUCCGAUUGAGGAAGUCUCCCACCAUCGAGAGUCCUUAUGGGAAAAUCAGCCUGUGACGGGCACCGUGGCUGCAGGAGGGGCAGGGCCGUCUGUGACUCACUGCAGAGAAAAGGACACAAGACACGACAGUGGCGCUAGGAUGAGCCCUUUGGUCUGGUGCUGAGAGUGUCUGAUGUCUCAAGGGCAGGGGAAGCAGCAGUACCGAGUGAGAAAGUGUAUCAUGGCUUGAAUGACUCGGAGGGAAUUUUUAAACAUGAUUCAGAUCUGUGGUUUUUUCUCAAAAGCUGGUUCCUAUAAGCAGCAUGAAGAGUUGAAAACUGCCACUGAACUGUAAAGAUUUACCAACAGGGUAAAUCUUUGGUGUUCAAGAGAAAAAAAGUAAUUCCUUGGAGCCUUGACAUUGUUACACUGGAUUACAUUAAUGACCUGCCUGGUCCAGGAUCUGAGAGUGGCCAGUUCCCUCCCAACACCUGUCGGCGCGGACGCCAUUUUGAAGCUCACCACGUGGUGGAGAAAUGAUCUGAGGUGGAGCUCCCCCGUCCCACGAUGGAGGAAGGGGCGUCGUUGCUUGUGGCUGAAUGGCUCAGAGCCCUUCACCUGGACCAGUACCUGGAGAGCUUUGAGAAGAACGACCUCUGGAAGGUGUCGGACUGCAGGAACCUGACGGAUGAGGCGCUGACUCAGAUCGGGAUCUUGCUGCCAGGCCAUCGCAAGCGCAUCCUCUUUGGCCUCCAGAAGGCCUUCAUGGAGGCUCCACCAGGCACGGAGGGGCCUGUGGUGGCAGCGAGGAGGCCAGUCCCCAUGAAACGCAACAUUUUCCGGGUCAGCGCAGAUGCUGUGACUGCCCGGGCAGAGCCGGAGCUCAAAGGUGACUCGCCCACGCCAGCCAGCAGAAAGUCUCCUGUUCUCACGGAGAUGGGGAACCCUGCCGGCCUCAGCCAGGUGCCCCCACCCAUCCCCCCGAGACUGGGGUGUCGCCCUCCCAUCAAGUUCUCCUCAGCAUCGCCUCCUGUCUCUGGUGAACUGUCCCCCGCUGUCCCCUGUCGCUCCGAACUGCCCUCCUUCGCUGACUUUGCCCCUCCGGUGCCUGCUCCUCUGCCAGCCAGAGACAAGCUCUCUCUGGGGCUAGCGGUCCCUGAAGGGAAGGGGAAACCACCGCUGCCCCCUUUGCCAGUGAAACGCCACCAGCUGGAGACCAAGCCCCACUCCCUCAAGGUGCCCCCCCUGCCAAGCCGACCGCCCUUGCUGCCGCCAAGGGCUUUGUCCCAGAGGACGGCCACCAGCUUUCCUGCUAGAGAGGAAUCCCAAGCCCCUGAGCCGGUGCCUAUUGUCCCACCCCCUCUGCCUCCUAUCCUUCCCCCUGUGAAACCACAACAACAGAGCCCCCUGAUACUGCCUUCCAGACCCGUCGACCUCUUCCUGCCGGAGUUCGACAACUCUGACUAUGAAGAACCCCCGUGGGAGGAGGAAUUGGCAGCUGCCACGGGAGAAAUGAGUGACAAGGACGAUGCCGAGACCAUGAGGGGGAGGCCACGCCCGGAGAGAGUCAACAGCUUGUUCAGCGAGGACGAGCUCAUUGAAGACUAUUACGACCAGCCGCCGGCUGCCAACGACAGCAGCUGUUGGAAUGACUAUGGCUUGAGCACCCUGCAGUCCAGCGGCACGGUAUCCUCCCCGAGUUCCAGCAUGCACAGCGGCAGCCCAGAGGGGUUGGAUUCCCCCACCCAGCUCUUACCCAUCAUCAAAGCCGGGUGGCUGGACAAGAACCCCCCACAAGGCUCAUAUAUCUACCAGAAGCGCUGGGUGAAGCUAGACGCUGACUACCUCCGAUAUUUUGACAGUGAAAAGGACACGUACUCCAAGCGCUUCAUUCCGGUGACCUCAAUAGCCCGCGUGGCCAGCAUCGGGGACCAGAAAUUCGAGGUGAUCACUAACAACAGGACCUUCGCCUUCCGGGCUGAGAGCGAUGCGGAUCGUAAUGAGUGGAUGAGGACCCUCCAGCAGAUGGUGGACGAGCGGAAGUUCAAGGGCUUGAACAGGAUAUCCCUGUUCCAGCUGGCCACUGGCGCCUUGGACUCGGUGGACAAGUGCGGGCUGCUGGAGCUGCGGGGCUUUAAGAACAAGCUGUACGUGGUGGUGGCUGGAGAUAAGGUUUUCCUGUACAAGAAUGCUGAGGAUUAUCGACAGGGGAUCGGAAUCACCUACAUUGAGAUGAAUGUGGGGAAUGUGAAGGACGUGGACAGAAGAGGAUUUGAUCUGACGACGCCUUACAGGAUCUUCAGCUUCUCGGCAGACUCGGACCAGGAAAAGGACGAGUGGGUGGAGGCCAUGCAGCAGUCCAUCGCCGAGGCCCUCUCCAACUCGGAGGUAGCGGAGAAGAUCUGGUCGGUGGAGGCAAACCAGUUCUGCGCCGACUGCGGGUCGCCCAAACCCGACUGGGCCUCCGUCAACCUUUGUGUCGUCAUCUGCAAGAGAUGCGCAGGAGAACAUCGGGGGCUGGGGCCGAGCAUCACCAAAGUGCGGAGCCUGAAGAUGGACAGAAAGGUGUGGACGGAGGAGCUGAUCGAGUUGUUCUGCAAGGUUGGUAACUGUGUGGCGAACCAGUUCUGGGCAGCCAACGUGCCCCCCAGCGAGGCCAUCCACACGGCGAGCAGGAGCCAGGAGCGGAGACACUUCCUCGUAGCCAAGUACAAGGAGGGCAAGUAUCGGCGCUACCACCCGCUCUUCGGGAACCAGGAAGAGCUCAACAAGGCCCUGUGCGCUACGGUGACGACCAGCGACCUGGCUGAAACUCAGUCCCUGGUGUUCUGCGGGGCGGAGGUGAGCUGCUUCUCCGGGGACCCCAACUUCCCGAACCCCAUCGCCUUAGCCGAGCAGGCUGGACAGAAGCUGCAGAUGGAAUUCCUGCUUCAUAACAAAAACUCAGAGAUCCCGCGGGUGGAAGCGGGGAGCAGUGAGGAGAAGCACUACUCGGUGAUCCUGCCGUCCGUCACUCACAACGGCUUCCUCUUCAAGACGCCCUCCAUGGCCAAGCUGGUGCAUGAACGGAAAUCCCGGGAAGAAUUCAGCCGCCGCUGGUGCACCCUCAACGACAGCAUCUUCAGCUACUACGAGAACGACCGCAACGCCGUGCCUAAUGGCGAGAUCAAGAUGGAGGAGAUCGUGUGCCUGGUGAACAACCCGCCUGACGCCCACGGGUUUGAGAGCACAUUUGAGGUCUACAUCGAAUCAGAGAGACUGUACCUCUUUGGGCUGGAUAAGCUGGAGGCCAUUCGGAAGUGGGUCAAGUCCAUAGCCAAGUCCUUCGUCCACCCCCGAGCGGAUGAGCUGCUGAGCCACGACUUCGAGCGGAUCGGGCGGCUGCAGUACAAGGGCGGCCUGAACCUGGAGCGGGCCAAGGAGGGCUGGUUCGCCCUCACCCAGUCCACCCUCUACGCCAUCUUCGAGGACAGUGACAAGGAGGAGGCGCUGCACCUGAAGAAGCUGCAGGAGCUCUCCAUCCAAGGGGACAGUCUGGUUCUGGUGGAGAGAAGAAGGACGCUGUACAUCCAAGGGGAGAGGAAGCUGGAUUUCUUGGGCUGGGUGGCUGCCAUCCAGAAGGCUGCGGGGAGCUCCGGUGACACGUUGUCCGAGCAGCAGCUCACGGAGUUGGACAUCCCCGUCAUCGUAGACAGAUGCAUCGAUUACAUCACGCAGUGCGGGCUGACCUCGGAGGGGAUCUACAGGAAGAGCGGCCAGAACUCCAAGACCACCAGCCUGCUGGAGAUGCUCCGGAAGGACGCGCGCAGGGUCCGGCUCAAGGAAGGGGAGCACCAGGUGGACGACGUCUCCAACACGCUGAAGAGGUUCUUCCGAGACCUCGGGGAUGGGCUCUUCACCAAAGAGUUCUGCCAGGACUGGCUGAAGGCAGCAGCGAUUGAAGACGAGGAGGAGAAGAUCAGCCAGUACCGCCAGCUCCUGAGCAUCCUCCCCGUGGUGAACAGAGCCACAGUCAAAGCGCUGAUCAACCACCUGUACCGGGUCCAGUACUUCUCCGACAUGAAUCAGAUGAACACACACAACCUGGCUAUUGUCUUCGGGCCGACGCUCUUCCAGACGGACGGGAAGGACUACAAGGCGGGGCGUGUGGUUGAGGAUCUCAUCAGUCACUAUGUGGUCAUAUUUAGCGUGGACAAACAAGAGAUGAGGAAACAGCAGGACGAGAUCACGGCCAUCAUCAAGAUGCGGAUAGCCGGCUCGUCUAGUGGAACCCAGCAAGCCGGGGACUUCAUCUGCACGGUGUAUCUGGAGGAGAAGAAGACGGAAGCAGAGCAGCACAUCAAGAUCCCAGCCACCAUGACGGCGGAAGAGCUGACCUUCGAGAUCUUGGACCGGAGGAAAAUUGUCAUGAAGGAGAAGGAGUACUGGAGCUGCUUCGAAGUGAACGAGAGGGAGGAAGCAGAGCGGCCCUUGCACUACUCUGAGAAAGUCCUGCCUAUCUUGCACGACCUGGGGACGGACAGCUUCCUGGUGGUGAAGAAGCAGCUGUCCAUGGAGAAUAUGCUCAUCUAUCUAGCCAGCAGAGUGGGCGACAGCAAGCACGGCAUGAUGAAGUUCCGGGAAGAGAGGAACCUUCUGGGGCUCGGGCUGAGCACGGGCUUCCAUGACCGAUAUUUCAUCCUGAACCACAGCUGCCUGAGGCUCUACAAGGAAGUGCGGAGCCACAGACCGGAGAAAGAGUGGCCAGUCAAGAAUCUGAAAGUUUACCUGGGAAUUAAGAAGAAACUGCGCCCUCCGUCCUGCUGGGGAUUCACGGUGUUCUAUGAAAACGAGAAGCAUGAAAAGCAACAGUGGUACCUGUGCUGCGAUACCCAGAUGGAGCUGCGCGAGUGGUUCGCAACCUUCCUCCACGUACAGAAUGGCGGGAACGUGUGGCCCUCCGAAUCCUCCAAGGUGCGGGCGUCGCGGACGCAGCAGGACUCCAGGUUGGGUAACAUCUCGCUCAUCCCUCUGCGGGGCAAUGAGAAUGAGAUGAGGAACAGUGUGGCUGCUUUUGCUGCUGAUCCGCUAACUGUGAGUGACAACCAAUCGGUGCUGGGUUUCACGGUGCAGGGAGUGGCAUCCCACUGGCUCGUAGCAUCACGCCUGUCGAGCAGGUGGGACGGGCGCAGGAUCCCCACACCCGGGGGUUUCCUCCAGAGUGAGAUCAGUAGGCGAGAGCUGGGUGGGGUUGGCGAACACAGAGCAUUUUCUGCUGUUAGCCUGGCUCGCAAUCCUUUCCCGGCCUCUGUCCUAGUCAUUGACUCAGAGCAACCAAAGCCAACGAGGGCAGGGUUCGUUCUUUGCCCGUGUUGGGUAACUGUCCCCAGCAGGCCUAGGGGCCCAUUGUCCAACGGUCGGCAGGGAGGUACCUGCAGGCGUGAUGCAGCAACAGGGGAUGCAGCUCGGCAGAUGAUUUCUCCUGGUAAUUGGGGUCGCUGCUUUGAAAUUCCUUCUCCGUUACAAAUCCGCUCCCUGUCCCUCUCCUUUCCCUCUCCUCGGUCUGGACUCUGUCCACACGCAAUGGCAGCAUGGGGGACUGCCGGAGAGGCUACUGCAGACUGUGAUUUGUCUACUGUUUCUUCCACAAACGUGGAAACUUCUUGGUUUCGCUUGAGCAACAAGGCCCGAACCAACAGUCGGCAACUCAGAUAAGGACUAGCUGGGUGUGGGCAGUUAGCAAAGAGCUGGUCUUUAUCUGAUUGCCAACGGACUGAUCCUGGGGGUCCUUAUUGCUGUUAUAAACCUGACCAGAAGCUUUUCUCCUGGGCCCUGAAAGCAGGACAGCUGGGUCUAAGGAAUGCGGCUGGUGGCCAGAGGGAAGCCACUGGCAGGUAGCAGUGUUCAUCCUGGCCAGCUCCUCCUCCAUGGCUUGGGGACUGGGCAAUUGGCCAUCCGAUGCUUUCCAGCUACAAGCCCAGGUUGGUAGGGACUGAACCUCGUUACUGCUCAGUGGCUUGGUGUUAAAUGAGCUUGGCGGGUCUCACGCCAGUUCCUAAUGGACCAGUGUCUGUGUGGCAAAAAACCAUGACUCCAAUGGGUGGGGGCCAUGACAUGAACCGGUGGGUCUCAGCCCAAUGGCUAGCAGACAAGCAUUCCUACACAAACACCAUCUUCACAAGGGGCCACUAGCAGGCCUCUCUGCAGAGAAGCCAGGGACUGAACGGGCCUCUCUAAAGGGGUCAGUUCAGGGCAGGGUCAUGGCAUAUUGGGCAGGUGUCCGGGCAGGAAGCUUGCCCCACCACUGCAUGGGCUGUAUUUCCGCUGUGGGUCAGGAAGGGAGCAACACUUCCUAGCACUGAAUUCACGAUGUCCAUGGUUAAAGGUCUGUUAGUACAAGCGCCCUUUGCCGGGGAGAUCCAGGGCAUGCAGCGCAUAGCACCCCGGGCCCUGCCUUCCCUCAGGUUUAUAAUGACAGCUAUGGUGGAACGGGAUCUCCAGCGUGGCUCUUUACAAUGGGAUGCGUCUGGCUUUUUGCUUGGCAGAGGGGACGGGGAGAAAUGCCCCCCAGCCUGGGGCCCGGUCGGACUCUGCUUCGUGUUUGCUUCCCCUCUUCUGCUCUUGCUCGGUUCGAGAGUUUGGGGCUAACCCUGCAGCUGGCAGCCAUUUCCCGUCUCUGUCCCUCAGGAUGUGUCCGCAGGCCGAACUGCAGACAGCGGGUGCUGCACCGAGGCAGCUGGCUCAGCCCCGCACGCCUGGGAUGGGGCAGAGGGUGCGAGAGCAGCAUUCGGUGCGAGUCCUGGCCAAGCCGCCGCCAGCCUCAAGGGUGGGGAGCGCAAGGGCUGUGCGGGGCUUAGACAGCCCAGAUCCCCCAGUCAGGAAACGCUGCCCAACGGUCUGCCAAUGGCAUCUGAAACACCGCUGUCAGCAUGCAGCAUCGCAGGGAAGCCCCUGGGAGCUGCAUCUUCUCAGGAGAUCCCCAAAUUAAUAACCCUCUGCCCUUGUGCACAUCAGUGAAUUCACCCUCACCAAACCCGGGGAGGUGGGCCAGCAUCAUUAGCUCUAUUUGACAGAUGGGGAAACCGGGGCCCGGAGAGUUUAGGUGACUUUACCCGGGGGACGGGGCACAGCAAAUCCAUGGCAGGCAUGACUCGGAUUCCCGUGCUCUAACCACUAAGCGAAACUGCCUGUGGGUGCGGUAUAAUUCCUAAAAGGAUGGGGCUCCCUUGUAUAACCCCCGCCAGCAUGCUCAAGAAAUCUCUCCGCAGCGUAGCUUUGAGGUGCUGAGUACAUUGAACCAGGGCCCAUUUGCCUAGAGCUAUUGCCAACUCCCUGAGGAUGUUCGGACUCCUCGUGGCCGAGCUGUCAAGGGGCCCAUUGUGCGUUCACUCUGGGCGCCCGGUGCAUUGAGCAAGGAAGGGCUUGAGCUGGCAGACGGAGAAAUGAUUCGGUCUCCAACCCCCUUGCUCUGAAAGCUGGGAACAAAAGGCAUCGUGAAAGGGGGGCCUGAUGGGGCGGCGGGUGGGAAAGCUGGUGAGUCCCGAGGAAGAGUGCUGAGUCUUUGAAGAGUAACUGGUGAUGUGCCGGCAAUUCUCUCCCCUGCUGUUUCUGGGAUGGUUCGGAGAUCAGCCAGAGCGCCGGGGCGCUGUACCUGAGCACAUCCCUCUGGCUGCGAGCCGGGGCUCAGGAGCGCCUGGUUAGACAGGUGUGCUGUGCUGGGACAGGCAGAGCCGGGCUGCGGCCCUGCCUCCUUCCUGCCCCUCUCAGUGUGAUUUUGCUUCCCUGAGCAAGGGCUGAUCCUAACCUGGCCCUUGAUGGGACGGGCUGUCUCUUGGGGCAUGAUGCACCGUCACCGAUUCAGAGAGCCCCAGUUACAGCUGAAAAUCCCUUUCCGAUGCAAGCCCCUGCCUCCCCAUCUGAAGCUGCUCGGGCGUAUUCGAAUCGGCUGCUGGGGCGAGACUCUUCAUCCCCCAGCAGAUCCGAGGGGUCAAGAUUAGGGGCGGAGUCUUCCCCCUUCCUCUGCGGCUUUUGUGCCAGCCCCCUUGGCCGUGGGCCUGGUUCCGCAGAAAUGGGACAUCUCUGCUUGGCUGAUGUUUGUACCGUGGCUCCAAGCAUUUGCCAGGCUAUUAAACCUAGUGCCCCUUUGUUCUUCUGACGCAAAGGCUGCCACGUUUUCCGGCAGCUGCCGCUGCUGGGGUUGUUACUUGUGCAGCUGGCUGGAUAAUACAGGCCGUUUUCCCAGGGAUGUGUUUGUGGCACAUCUUGUGGUCGCUCCCCUCAGGCGUGCGAGUGAGGCAGGACGGUCAUGCAGUAAAGGUGCUGGACAGAGACCUGGGUUCAAGUCCCGCUUUGCCACAGACUGACCUUGGUCAAGUCACUGCAUCUCUCCGGGCUCUCGCUCCCCAUCUGGCUAAACAGGGAUAAUAGUUCCCGUGUAGGGGAGUUGUGGGGUGCUCAGACACUGUGGCAGUCUGGGCUGAAACGUUUGAUGGGCUCACAAUGCUCGCAGGAAGGGAUUUUUAAAGUCACACUUGGAAGUCUUUGUGCGAGAUGCACUUAGGUUCUCCUCCAAUCAAUAUCACGUGAUAUUUUUUUUUUUUUGGACCAAUCCCAAAGCAGCACAGUUCGAGUUUCCAGUAUUCCCGCUCAGACUGUGGAGUAAAGAAAAGGCAGUUUGAGAGUGAGGCCGUUGCAACGCGUGAGCGGGAAACUGCUAAUAAUGAUUCCCUGUGACUCAGGCCUGGGUUAUAGCAAUUCACUGUUUUGCCCAAGGCAAAUAGUGUGUGUCUUUUACAAGCCAGGGCCUUGGGGCCAUGAGGUCUUAUCAUCGGCUUCCCAAGUACCCUGUUUUCUGCAGGAGGAUGGGGCAUCUCCCCAAGCACUUGGGGUUUGCCGCACAGUGCUUGUUACUCCUGGGGAGGGUGGAUGCUGUAGAAAUGGACAUGUCCCCAGACAGACAGGACUACGAUACAGUGGCUCUUGGUUCUAAGGAAGCACCCUGGUGAGGUUUAUGCCUGCACCAUCCCUGAGGGGGGGCGUGAACAGCGUGAGGUAAUGCGGGUUGGGUGGGGGCGGGAACAGCCUGGCUAAGGGACCAACCCCCAGCUCCUGCCAGUGUGUUUCUAUGAGCAUGUGAUGUGCCGGGUGCCUCUAAAAGAGACAGAGGUGCCGGCAGGCCUGCCCCUGAGGUUCGUGGGUUUGCAGGAUUCAGCCAGAUCUGGCAAUUUCACUGCACGAGGCCUGGUGCAACACCAUCAUCGGUGGUCACGCCGGCUGAUGUGGCGGUGCUCAGUAGGCCGUGGUGGUGGAGACGGUUGCGACUGGCCUGCUGGUCUCAGCAGCUGAGUUCUCCCGGGUCCACCGCUGAGCUCCCGUCUCAGGCAAGUCGUUUAACCUCAGCUCCUGCCCCGCACCCUGUGGUGUCUGGCAUCCUGGAGUGAAAGAUGCUUGAAGAGACCCAGAUAGCGGCCACUCUCGGCUUCAUAGGGUAGUUACAAAGUGAAGGUCGUCCCUUCGCCCUCUCCCAGGCCCAGGCAGCUAAUCGAUACGGGUGCACAGCGGGAGGGGAAACUGAGCCAGAGUUAACCCUUUGUUCCCCAUGGAGCAGCCCUGUCACCUUCAUCUAAUUACCCACAAUCGUUCCGAGCCAAGGAGUGCAGCCCUUCCAGCUACUUAAUGCCACCAACGUACAUGUCGGAGAAGGAAAACUAACCCCUUCCUCCUUAUUUUCUCUCUCUCCAGCUGCUUCGAAACGUAUGAGCCGGAGGCCUAACACAUCAGGUCCGUUUGCGAGAGGGGGGAGCCAGCCUGAGAGCCCAGGUGCGCACAAGUCAUGUUGCAUUGUCCCUGCUCAUCCAGCGGGGUCUGCACGGAAACUGGGGGGCUCUCAGAAUGUGUGCCAGCCCCUUGAUCCAAUCAUCUCCUUCUACGGCAAAGCCGACAGCAGCCGCAAAACAAUAAGCAUCUGUGUUUGAUUUAAGGAAAAUGAAUCCAUUGGCAAAGAGCGGCUUCUAAAGGAUUAAUUAUUCAAGCAGACACUGUCUCAUCACUCUUCUCGCCGGCUGUCCGUGCCGUGACCAGCCGAACCCCAGAGACGGGGCAGAGGAAGCUGUGCUGGGAUGGACUUUCUGGACCCAUCGCUUCACCUGGGAGUGUCUUUCUCCCCCAUCACCAGCUGCUUCUUGCUUCUUCUUGGGUCCUGAAUUAAAACUGGAAGGGCGCAGACUGGGAUGGCCCCUCUCUGGUGCCAGCUGCUGCUCCGGGAGGGGUUAGGGGCUGGGGGCACUCUUGCUUUCUUUAAAAUUCUUUCUCUCUAUUUGAAACCGCAAGCCACGGAAGGGCAGCAAGGACCACCCAGCCAGGCCAGGCAGAGACCUUCCAGCAAGGGUGCUUCUGCUGGUGGAAGCAUUAAACCCUCCCAAGGAGGAGCGGUGGGCUAACCCCAGCCGUUCUGUAUCACUACGUUGGAGAAGGGCUGAAGGCGACCCACGGGGGAAGCGGAUGGAAGGCUCCCAUCGCUGCUGCUGGCCCCUCAGAGCCACACGCCGCUUCUCUCCUUCUCCCAGGCUGCCCGAUCCCAUGGCCACAUGGGCCUUUCGUGUGAAAGCUUCGCCAGCAGGGCGUUAGAGCGGGGAGAGUCCAGCACCCAGCCGCGGGCAUGUGGGGAUGGCUGAGUGGAGUCAUGGCUGGGACGCGUGGCUUGAGGGGCCCUGGUGGAAGCAGCAAGAGACUGGGGCGCGUGUGGGGGGACGGGACUCUGGGCCAGCCUUAAGUUGAGCUUGGAGUGGGGCCGUUUGUCCUGGGCAGGGAGAGGGGCCAGUGCUGUCCUGGUCAACGGCCUCCUUGGUUAUUGUUAAUAUUAAACGCCUGGGGAAGUCCAUGUGAUGGUGUCCCCAUGCUGCAGGGCAAAGGGAGGGGCUGGCAGCCUGAAUGCAGCAGGCUAAUGCUGGGGAUGACCUGCUACCCCUGGGCUGCAAGCUGAGAUAAAGGGGCAAAGACCCGCGGUCUUGGGGCUGCAGGCCAAGAUGGGGGAGUGGGGGAGGGGCAGUUGCUUCCGCUAGAGGUGAAGAUGGAGGAGCAUGAGCCCAUUAUUUUAGGGCCCCAGGCCAAGACGGAGGAGCAGCGGCCCCCUUCAUCGGGACUCUAAGUUGGGACAGAGAGAAAGAGGCCAGUUUCUGACUCCCUCAGUGUUCAAAAGUGGGUGCUCAGAGAGCCGAGCGAUCAGUCGCUAAUGCACGUAUCAGGCAAAGCCUGCGCGUUCUCCAGGUGACUAGCUACAUGGGAGAAUUCUUCUGUUUAAUAGUCUCCCUUUUCUUUAAAAGCCUCGGAGAUUCUAGACCCCAAAAAGGUUAAAAGAACAUUACAUCUGCAUGGUCAAGCACCCAAAAGCCAGGAAAUGUCAAAAGUAAGGUUAUCCAGGCAACCUUAACUCUGCCCCUUGAACACGUGCAUUAUGGUAUAGUGUUUAAUGAUGUGAUCACAUGCCAUUUUCUCUGCAAAACCUCUGCCCCAUUCCUUGUCUGGUGAAUGAGGCAGGGACCACACAGUGAACAGCUGUCUUGUUUACUUCAUGCCAGGCAGCUUGUGCCCUGAAUGAGGCAGGUGCUGCGGGAAACCAGUGUUUGAUCCUGUAAUUAAAGAGUGUAUUGUAACCCAUACCCAGAGGGAAGAGUUAAGGUUAUGCAGCAGUCUGUAACCACAUAACCUUAACGUAAGCGUCUAUUUGGUAUGGAAUAGAAUAGUAAUGUUCUAUCUAUAUAUAGCACCUUUCAGCUGGGGAAGGCAGAGCACUUUACAAAGGAGGAAAGGGUAAUGUUGCUCUUUCUAUCAGGGCUCACACUCUAAAGAACAGGUUGGAUGCAAUGCCUUGGAAAACUGAAGUUAGAAUUAAGCACGGCCAUUUAUUCUGUUAACCUGGGCCAAGGAAAGGGGGCCAUAGGGAUAAUAAACGUUUUGCACUUCCUUAGCCUCUUUUGCCCAAGGAUCUCUAAGCAUUAGGAGAGCCGCAUUGUAAGGGUUAGAUGGGGGGGGGGUUCAGAUCACAUUUCACUCCCCCUCACACACUCAAACGUAGCCAGCGUCGGGACUGGACACAGCUGCUGGUUAACAUCAGCAUUGCAUGCCACGUCAGGACAGGAAGUGAAGAUGAAUGCCAUAUCCUGCUGAAGCUACAGGGGAAUUUAAGGAGGCCAGCUGGAGUGAUCCAAGUAGAAAUAGGCCCAGGAGCCUGGUGUUAACACCCCCUACUCUUGGGGAAAGUACCAGGCAAGCUAUGGCCAGUGCUGGAACUUAGUUUCUUUGCAUAAAGAAGCCGAGAGACCAAGAUGACUGGCUGCUCAGAAACAGCAUGUCCAGUUCGCUAGGGAAUUCCAUCCCAUCCUGGUGGAGGGUGACCUGGCCUCAGUUUUUCAGGCCUUCCUCGCCUGUCCUCUGGAUUACAGCAAUAUGACACACCUGGGCAUGAAGCCUUCAGGGUUUAGGAAACUUCAACUAAUACAGAACAUUGCAGCAUAUCUCCUUAGCAACAUGGGCUCCCGCGAGCACAUCGGACCUGCCCUCCGCUUCCCACAGAUCACUGAAUCCAGGUACAAGGUCCUUAUUUUCAGAGUAGUCAAUGGCCUCUGCCCAGGGUAUCUAAAAUAGCCUGCAGAGCCAGGAGUGGGACUGGUGUGGAGUUCUCUGCUCCUCUGCUACAGUCGAACUUUCCACCAUCAUCUGUGCAGGGGACAGAACUUUGUCAGGGGCUGGUCCCAGACUGCGGAGUCAACUCCCCCAGGAACUAAGGACCAUCGCAGACCUCCUCACCUUCCACCCCAAGGGCAAUAGGAGCUUCUCCAAUCAGCCUUCUCGAACAGAGGGAGAUGAUGGAGGCUGUCAGGCAGCCACUUCUGGCUUCCUGAUCUAUGCCACUUGGCCCUGGCAUUCAUUGGAGCAGCUGAGGAGCUGCUCUAACUUACACCUGUGGUGUAAUGUCCAUGAGACAGGACACGGGCGCUCCAUGGGUCUCGCCACCUCUCAGGAUUUGGCCAUAGGAGUGUAGGAAACAGCUGCAACCAUGCGGAGGUCUAAGGUACCACACCAGGGCACGGAGCAGUUAUUCAUUAAUGAUGCUGAGGCGUCCAGUGAAUCUAGUUUGUUGGCUAGCUGGAGAUUUUCGAACCAGUUGUCAGGUUGGUUCCCAUUCCCCAAACGGCUCCUUGAAACGUGCUUCUGAAGCAGACGCUGUCUGUGUGCAGCUGGCUCAGCAAAGCCAACACGAAUAGCAGAUGAUUAACAGGGAGUGAAUGCUAGGAGUAACUGAGUCCCCCAGGGGUGAGAGAGAGAGCGGGAUAAAGAGCCCCACUCAGGCCGCAGAGAAACAGGCACCAGAGUCGAAAGCUAUUGUGGCUGGAGAUCCAAGACGCUGGAAGCAGCUCACUGCUCUGCUUGGUGAAAGACUGAGACCCCUGUUUAUGCCUUGUGGGCAUAAAAUGGACUGAAAUUGGGGCCCCUCCGUGCUGCUUGGGGUUUUACACUCUGUGUCGUAUGCGUUAUGGAUGGGAAAAGUCCAACUAUUGAAGCGAGAUGGUCAGGAACCAGAUUUUCCAUUCUGUAGGUCUUUUUUUUUCCUUUUCUGUUCCUAAAUGGAACGAAACCAAAAAACGCGGACGUUUCCCGCAAUGUGAAAUUUCAGGGCGCGGGGGGAGGGGAAUUGUUUUAGAUCAAUUUGAAACAUUUUGUUCCGACUUCAACUUUUUCAAUUUGCUACGACGUUAUCUAAGAUAAAAUAAAGAAAUGGAAAGUUGUUCCCAA